AUCACUGGUGUACCGAUGUCUACUUGGUAUGGCGCAAACCAAACCGCAACGCCGCCGCCUUCCUACACAACUUACGCAACGACCAGUUUCUGCAUCGAGGUCUUCAAGUACUACACCACUAAAGCACCGGUGUUUUAUACCACAACUAACGCUGCCCGAGCCACUACACUGACGCCCUGAAGUAUUGCACUGCCCCGAGUUACUACACCACCAAGGCGACCGAUUACUACAUGACAACGCAUGCUGCCUGGAGUUACUACACCACCAAGGCGAUGGAGUACUACAUGAUUACGUAUGCUGCCCCAUCCUACUACACCGAGGCUCCUAAUUGCUACACCGAGGCUCCCGCUUAUAACUCCACCAAAACGGUCGAGUACUACACCGAAGCGCCAAAGUACUUCUCUGCCCCGAUCUACACAACCACAACUGAGGCGGCCAAGUAUUACGCAGCCCCGACUUGCUAAACAGAAGAUGCUCUUUCGUGAUACGUUGAUCUAAAACACUACACUGAUGAGCACUCCAGUUUACUACACCAAGACCUACGCUACACCUAGCUACAACAGCGCAGCCCCCAAGUACUACACCGAAGAAGCCGCCUAUUACACAACCACGUACGCUGCCUGGUAUACUACAUCGGAAUUUAAGUAUUACCCUGCUCCAAACUACUACAAAACUGAGGUUCAUAUGUAUUACACCAGCAAUUCUCCCGACUAUGUCCCCACUACUUAUGUUGCUCCGACCUGUACACCAAAGUUCUGAAGUAUUUCUCUGGAUGUGUUGAAAGAUUGCUGAAAUACAAGAUUGAUCGAUAAAUCACAA
Long non-coding RNA from Daphnia pulicaria, 819 nucleotides. RefSeq lists it as uncharacterized. The transcript is spliced from 2 exons. Lineage: Eukaryota; Metazoa; Arthropoda; Branchiopoda; Diplostraca; Daphniidae. The record is from RefSeq and is a predicted model, not a curated record.